GUAGGGAAUAUUGCACAAUGGGGGAAACCCUGAUGCAGCGACGCCGCGUGAAGGAAGAAGUAUUUCGGUAUGUAAACUUCUAUCAGCAAGGAAGAAAAUGACGGUACUUGACUAAGAAGCCCCGGCUAAAUACGUGCCAGCAGCCGCGGUAAUACGUAUGGGGCAAGCGUUAUCCGGAUUUACUGGGUGUAAAGGGAGCGUAGGCGGCAUGGCAAGUCAGAAGUGAAAGCCUGGGGCUCAACCCCGGAAUUGCUUUUGAAACUGUCAGGCUAGAGUGUCGGAGGGGUAAGCGGAAUUCCUAGUGUAGCGGUGAAAUGCGUAGAUAUUAGGAGGAACACCGGUGGCGAAGGCGGCUUACUGGACGAUUACUGACGCUGAGGCUCGAAAGCGUGGGGAGCAAACAGGAUUAGAAACCCCAGUAGUCC
Molecule: ribosomal RNA, 425 nt
Filed under: uncultured bacterium
Lineage: Bacteria
Description: bacterial SSU rRNA
Rfam family: Bacterial small subunit ribosomal RNA
Source: RNAcentral